RNAcentral lists this small nuclear RNA (107 nucleotides) under Myotis davidii. The record is from RNAcentral. Lineage: Eukaryota; Metazoa; Chordata; Mammalia; Chiroptera; Vespertilionidae.
GUGCUCGCUUCGGCAGCACAGAUACAAAAAUUGGAAUGAUACAGAGAAGAUUAGCAUGGCCCUUGAGCGAGGAUGACACACAAAUUUGUGCAACGUUCCAUAUUUUU